GUGCCAGCCGCCGCGGUAACACCGGCAGCCCAAGUGAUGGCCGAUAUUAUUGGGCCUAAAGCGUCCGUAGCUGGCCGCACAAGUCCGUCGGGAAAUCCACUCGCUCAACGAGUGGCCGUCCGGUGGAAACUCCACACCUUGGGACCGGAAGGCUCGAAGGGUACGGCCGGGGUAGGAGUGAAAUCCUGUAAUCCCGUCCGGACCACCGAUGGCGAAAGCACUUCGAGAAAACGGAUCCGACAGUGAGGGACGAAAGCUAGGGUCUCGAACCGGAUUAGAUACCCGGGUAGUCC
RNAcentral lists this ribosomal RNA (293 nucleotides) under uncultured bacterium. Its description in RNAcentral is "partial 16S ribosomal RNA". It matches the Rfam family "Archaeal small subunit ribosomal RNA", at positions 455 to 747 of the family's 1478-position model. The record is from RNAcentral.